This 521-nucleotide ribosomal RNA is filed under the name Weissella confusa. Its description in RNAcentral is "bacterial SSU rRNA". It matches the Rfam family "Bacterial small subunit ribosomal RNA", at positions 56 to 547 of the family's 1533-position model. Lineage: Bacteria; Bacillati; Bacillota; Bacilli; Lactobacillales; Lactobacillaceae. The record is from RNAcentral.
UGUGGUUCAACUGAUUUGAAGAGCUUGCUCAGAUAUGACGAUGGACAUUGCAAAGAGUGGCGAACGGGUGAGUAACACGUGGGAAACCUACCUCUUAGCAGGGGAUAACAUUUGGAAACAGAUGCUAAUACCGUAUAACAAUGACAACCGCAUGGUUGUUAUUUAAAAGAUGGUUCUGCUAUCACUAAGAGAUGGUCCCGCGGUGCAUUAGCUAGUUGGUAAGGUAAUGGCUUACCAAGGCGAUGAUGCAUAGCCGAGUUGAGAGACUGAUCGGCCACAAUGGGACUGAGACACGGCCCAUACUCCUACGGGAGGCAGCAGUAGGGAAUCUUCCACAAUGGGCGAAAGCCUGAUGGAGCAACGCCGCGUGUGUGAUGAAGGGUUUCGGCUCGUAAAACACUGUUGUAAGAGAAGAAUGACAUUGAGAGUAACUGUUCAAUGUGUGACGGUAUCUUACCAGAAAGGAACGGCUAAAUACGUGCCAGCAGCCGCGGUAAUACGUAUGUUCCAAGCGUUAUCCG